RNAcentral lists this ribosomal RNA (253 nucleotides) under uncultured bacterium. Its description in RNAcentral is "partial 16S ribosomal RNA". It matches the Rfam family "Bacterial small subunit ribosomal RNA", at positions 524 to 776 of the family's 1533-position model. The record is from RNAcentral.
UACGUAGGGGGCAAGCGUUGUCCGGAAUCAUUGGGCGUAAAGAGCGUGUAGGCGGCUCGAUAAGUCUGCUGUGAAAGUCCAGGGCUCAACCCUGGAAGGCCGGUGGAAACUGUCGGGCUAGAGUCCGGAAGAGGCGAGUGGAAUUCCCGGUGUAGCGGUGAAAUGCGCAGAUAUCGGGAGGAACACCUAUGGCGAAGGCAGCUCGCUGGGACGUUACUGACGCUGAGACGCGAAAGCGUGGGGAGCAAACAGG